AGCGCACAAUGUUGCAUGACAUGGUGUGAAAAACUCCGGUGGUAUAAGAUGGACCCGCGUCUGAUUAGCUAGUUGGUGAGAUAACAGCCCACCAAGGCGACGAUCAGUAGCCGACCUGAGAGGGUGACCGGCCACAUUGGGACUGAGACACGGCCCAGACUCCUACGGGAGGCAGCAGUGGGGAAUAUUGCACAAUGGAGGAAACUCUGAUGCAGCGACGCCGCGUGAGUGAAGAAGUAAUUCGUUAUGUAAAGCUCUAUCAGCAGGGAAGAUAGUGACGGUACCUGACUAAGAAGCUCCGGCUAAAUACGUGCCAGCAGCCGCGGUAAUACGUAUGGAGCAAGCGUUAUCCGGAUUUACUGGGUGUAAAGGGAGUGUAGGUGCCCAUGCAAGUCAGAAGUGAAAAUCCGGGGCUCAACCCCGGAACUGCUUUUGAAACUGUAAGGCUAGAGUGCAGGAGGGGUGAGUGGAAUUCCUAGUGUAGCGGUGAAAUGCGUAGAUAUUAGGAGGAACACCAGUGGCGAAGGCGGCUCACUGGAC
Molecule: ribosomal RNA, 540 nt
Filed under: uncultured Lachnospiraceae bacterium
Lineage: Bacteria; Bacillati; Bacillota; Clostridia; Lachnospirales; Lachnospiraceae
Description: bacterial SSU rRNA
Rfam family: Bacterial small subunit ribosomal RNA
Source: RNAcentral